UACGUAGGGGGCAAGCGUUGUCCGGAUUUAUUGGGCGUACAGCGCGUGUAGGCGGCCAGAUAGGUCUGCUGUGAAAACUCGAGGCUCAACCUCGAGCUGUCGGCGGAAACCAUCUGGCUAGAGUACGGAAGAGGCGAGUGGAAUUCCUGGUGUAGCGGUGAAAUGCGCAGAUAUCAGGAGGAACACCGGUGGCGAAGGCGGUUCUCUGGGCAGUACCUGACGCUGAGGAGCGAAAGUGUGGGGAGCGAACAGG
This 253-nucleotide ribosomal RNA is filed under the name uncultured bacterium. RNAcentral describes it as "partial 16S ribosomal RNA". It matches the Rfam family "Bacterial small subunit ribosomal RNA", at positions 524 to 776 of the family's 1533-position model. The record is from RNAcentral.